AAUCAACGCUGGCGGCGUGCCUAACACAUGCAAGUCGAGCGCGAAAGCGGGGCAACUCGCAAGUAGAGCGGCGAACGGGUGAGUAACGCGUGGGUGAUCCACCUCCGAGUGGGGAACAACAUCGGGAAACUGGUGCUAAUACCGCAUGACAUCCUCGGGUCAUACUGAGGAUCAAAGCCGGGGACCGCAAGGCCUGGCGCUUGGAGAGGAGCCCGCGUCCGAUAGCUAGUUGGCGGGGUAACGGCCCACCAAGGCGACGAUCGGUAGCCGGCCUGAGAGGGCGGACGGCCACACUGGGACUGAGACACGGCCCAGACUCCUAC
This 323-nucleotide ribosomal RNA is filed under the name uncultured bacterium. RNAcentral describes it as "bacterial SSU rRNA". It matches the Rfam family "Bacterial small subunit ribosomal RNA", at positions 29 to 342 of the family's 1533-position model. The record is from RNAcentral.